This 69-nucleotide transfer RNA is filed under the name Ovis aries (sheep). It matches the Rfam family "tRNA". Rfam says of the family: Transfer RNA (tRNA) molecules are approximately 80 nucleotides in length. Their secondary structure includes four short double-helical elements and three loops (D, anti-codon, and T loops). Further hydrogen bonds mediate the characteristic L-shaped molecular structure. tRNAs have two regions of fundamental functional importance: the anti-codon, which is responsible for specific mRNA codon recognition, and the 3' end, to which the tRNAs corresponding amino acid is attached (by aminoacyl-tRNA synthetases). tRNAs cope with the degeneracy of the genetic code in two manners: having more than one tRNA (with a specific anti-codon) for a particular amino acid; and 'wobble' base-pairing, i.e. permitting non-standard base-pairing at the 3rd anti-codon position. The record is from Rfam by way of RNAcentral. Lineage: Eukaryota; Metazoa; Chordata; Mammalia; Artiodactyla; Bovidae.
CCUGGUGGCUCAGAUGGUAAAGCUUCUGCCUGCAAUGCGGGAGACCCGGGUUCGAUCCCUGGGUCAGGA